RNAcentral lists this long non-coding RNA (4197 nucleotides) under Marmota monax (woodchuck). The stretch from base 3751 to 3806 matches the Rfam family "tRNA", at positions 8 to 63 of the family's 71-position model. Lineage: Eukaryota; Metazoa; Chordata; Mammalia; Rodentia; Sciuridae. The record is from RNAcentral.
GUUUUUUUGUUUUGUUUUUGUUUUUUUGUUUGUUUUGUUUUUUGUGAGAGUACCUGCCAUGUUACCCAGGCUGGCCUUAAACUCCUGGGUUCAAGUGAUCCUUUUGCCUCAGUCUUUGGAGUAGCUGGGACUACAGGCAUGAGCCAUCCAGCCUGAUUCAUACCAUGAUUUAAAUUGUGUUUUUAGAGCCCUUUCCUUCUACUCAGAUUUAGAUUCCAUUUUGUUUUAUAUGACUAUUUCCAAUCCUGUUUUCUUUUUGUUUCCAUAUGCCUGAUGUCUUCUUAUCCAGUGCCUUGUUUUAACCUUUCUUUAUUAUUGUAUUGUGGGAGUGUUUCUUGUAAAUCACAUAUAAUUGAAUUUAAUUUUUAACUUAGUAUCAUGGUCUGUGCCUUUACAUUUAGUUAAUACUGUUAACUUUAUUUUUUCCAUUUUAUUUUAUGUUUUCUAUUAUUUUGUACUAUUAGUUAUAUUUUGUUGAGCCUCUUUUUACUUUCUCUUAUUUUAGCUUAUUCAAAUUUCUGUUCUUACACAUUUGUUAUACUGUUUAUUUGGCAAGCCUACUGUGCUUUUCUGCACAUUUCAGUCCGUAAGUGCUGACACUCAAAAUCAAGCAGUAUUUCUCUACUAUUGAAUCCAAGUGAAAUGAUUGUGCUUCCCACAGAGGCACCCUGUUUUCUCACUAUCCCCUGAAUCCAACAACAGGAAAGCUUUAGAAAUGUUUACACAAACUCUAAGUAGCAUUUAGUAUAUAGAAGUUCAAUUUUUGGUCUUGGAAUUAGUUAUUGAGUUAAAAGUUAUUUAUUUAAAAGCUGUAUGUUCCUGGGGAAGUUAUUAAUCACUGUGUAUCUCUAUUUCUUCAUGUGUAACAUGAGGGUGUUAAAUAAGAUAUAUAGUGCUUAGAGCAGUACCUGGAAAGUAGUAAGUGCUAAAUAAAUGCUACAUGAUAGUUUAGAUUGGAUUAUAGUCUCUCUGAAUCUUUGCAUUUCAAAUAUAUUUUAAUCCACUUUGAUUUGUGAAGACUGACUUGGCUGGGCACACUUUAUGGAUGUUAGUAUUUUUAUCAUAGCAUUGUGUAGACAUUAUUUCAUUGGUUCCUUGCCUCUAGAAUGGCAAAUAAAAAUUUUAUUUUUCCUUUAUAGGUAUGUUUUUGUACUAGUCCCUAUCAUUGGACUUAUUAAUUUUAUGAGUGUACUUUGACCUUUUUUCAUAAUCCUGUCUGGUACUUGGCAUAUGCUUUCACUCUGUAGCCAUAAGACUUUAUUUAGAUUAGGGGGAAUUUCUUUAUUAUUUCUUUACUUCUUUUUAAUCUGUUGCUUUUUCUCAUUCUAGGAAUUCAUUUAUUUGUUGGGUCAUUUGGAGCAGUCCUCCAACUUUAAAAAAUCUUUUUCUUCAUAAUUUUCAUUUAUUCUUUAGAUUUUUACAUGAUCUUCCUUGCUACUUAUUCAAUUCUCAACAAUGGAAUUCCCUCUUUUAUUUAAUUGGAUAGUGAUUUAAAAUGUGAAAGUCAUGUUUUGUGAAAUAAUCGUUUUGCUUGAAUUGUUUCGUUUUAGUGUUAUUAUUACUUUUUUUGCUGAAGAUAAUAACUGACUCUUCCAAAAGUUCUAUUUCAGUUGGAGAUAAUAUAAAUAAUACAUAUUUUGAAAUGCACAGACACCAGAUAUGAAUAGUCACAUAUAAAAGUAAGAGAAAUUUGGAGAAAGGACAACUCAAAGUCUUCUGAAAAACAGGCAGAACUGAGAUUUGAUUGAAAGCAUUUUCAUGUGUCUGUGUUUAUUCUUCAUUGUAUCCACAUUAUGCUUCAUAUAGUAUUUUCCUAGACAUACCUAGAGAGGCCUAUGUAAAUGGUAGGUUUAAGAUUUUCAGAAAGUAAAUUGAGACUGUUACCCAUAAUUUAUCUGUUCGCUUAAUCUUUUUUCCCCACCCUUUCCUAAUCUCUGUUUCACAUUAGCACAUUAUCUUUGUUAUAGCUUAAAAGAACUAAGCUCAGAAUUUAUUGUCUAGGACAAAGCAGUGUACAAGCAAAUAAAGUGGGUAGAGACAGUAGCCUGACCAAUAGCUGAUACUCUUUCCAUUUCCCAAUGGUCCCAUCCUGUUUAUGUUCCUAGAGGAAACCUCUGAAUAGUAAGAACGAAGAGAAUAUGCAGUGAUUUACUAAGGGAUGGAUUGACAGACACACAAAACUAUUAAACAUUGUCAUGUACUUUUUGACUGAAAUCCUGAAAAGAGAAUGUCAUUUUCUCCUUUUCUUGAAGAUGCUUUCUUUUCUAUUAGUGCAUUUCAAUUAUACAGAAUCAUGGGUUUCACUGUGGCAUAUUCAUGCAUGUAUGUAGAAUACUUCGAUCAUAUUCACAUACCCAUACCCCUCCCUUCCCCUGCUUUCCUGUCUUCCCCUGAUCCUCUUCCUUUUCUCUAAUAGUGUCCCUUCUAGAAGAUGGUUUCUUAUUGACUCUUUUUAAAAAUUAUAUAUAUAUAUAUAUUUUUAGUUGUUGAUGGACAUUUAUUUUAUUCAUUCAUUUAUAUGUGGUGCUGAGAAUCAAACCCAGUGCCUCACACAUGCUAGGCAAGCACUCUACCACUGAGCCACAACCCCAGUCCUCUUAUUGAUUCUUAAAAUAAAGAUUUAAUAUUGCACUAGAUAUUGCAAAUAUUUACACAUUUACAUGUGUUCCUAGAUGAUAGAAUACUAUGUUUUAGAGAAAAGCUUCUGUUCUUGUUCUUCCCUUGCAAAAUAUCUCUUAAUUUUCCAUUUCCCCCAUUCCUUACAUCAGGAAUGGUUUAUGGAGAGAUGUUAGAUUUCCUAUGACCUAAAUAAAUGAAAAUGUUGUGCCAGGUAUACACAAAGAUUUAUCUGGUUACAGUUUUAUUUUUCUUUAUCCUGCUCAAAACUCACUGUAUUCAAUAUAAAGAUUCUUUCCUUCCUCUAGUUGUUGAAAAUUCUGAGAGUUCCAUCAAAUGUUUCCUCAUCCUCAUUGUCUGUAGGCUUUCUUUAUGUAAUUCCUUCACAUGUAUUUUAAAACUAAAUUUCUGCCAUGUCUUCCAACUUCUCAUUCAUAUUUGCACCAUUUUAUCUUUGUGCACUUCAUUCUGGGUGAUUUCUUACUAUAUUUAAAUGACCUAAUUUUCUCCUUGUUUGUGUUUGCCUCUGCUAAGGCCAGGUGUUUCACUAGUUCCAAAUUAAUUUUUAUGCUAGUGUCUUUUGGGUUCUUUAACACAUAGGAUUGGUGACUUCAAUGCCAUGCCAAAGGGGGGUUCUAAUUGCUCCCACAGAACUCUUUAUCUACCUUUGACUUCUCAUAAAAGACAAGUUUAUUUUUGGCAAAGGAAAAACUAUCUUGUUAUCAUUUCCAUGCUGAUUACACCUCUGUGGGAUCUGGAUUUAGACAGCUUCUCAGUAUUAACUGCUCAUUUUCCAUAGGCUAGAAAUAUUGCCUCCUAUCUCCAUGUGGAAUUAAGCCUUGGCCCCCAGUCAAGACAAUAUAAACCUGUAUGUCUUUAUCUCCAGCUCAUUGUUGUUUAGCUCCUUUUUUUGUUUCUGGGUGAUUUCCAUUUCAUGAUUAUGAAUUUGGUUAUACUGCUGUUUCUAGAGAAGGUACAUAUUCUAUCAUUUCUGUGAGUUUCAAGUGGUAAGAGGGAAGCUUUCCAAAUCAGUUUCCUGUGCUACUGAUUGAAAAUUCCUCAGAUAUGUUAUUGAAUUGGAUUGUGUAGGUGACAUGUCAUGCCUCUUAGAUACCUGAAAAGGGGCCAAGGGUAUAGCUUAGUGGUAGAGCACAUGCUUAGCAUGCACAAGACCUGGGUUCAAUCCCCAGCAUCACACACACACACACACACACACUCAUACAUAAAAAUACCUGAGAUAUUACAGUUUUAUAUUGCUUCCAGGUGGAAUGUGUGAUUACAACACAGUUAUAUUGUCCCUUUGCCUAGUUAAUGGUACUUUUCUUUAUUUCAGCUCAAAAUUUACCUCCUUAUGGAAGUUCUCCCUGUCCUCUCUCUUCCUCCUUCAGAGUGUGUCUUGAUCUUCUAAUAUGUACUCUUACAUACCUGUGUUCCAUUACUCUUUGUACUCAUGUGGAAUUAUAGUUAUUUAUACACUUAUGUGAUUGUUUGAUUAAUGUACAUAUCUUGCUAUUGGUGAACUUCAUGAAUUCAAACACCUAGUCUGUUUUUCCUACCACUGUAUGCCUUCCAUUGGUGCUC